This is a long non-coding RNA of Megalobrama amblycephala (Wuchang bream), 589 nucleotides long. RefSeq lists it as uncharacterized. The record is from RefSeq and is a predicted model, not a curated record. Lineage: Eukaryota; Metazoa; Chordata; Actinopteri; Cypriniformes; Xenocyprididae. The transcript has 3 exons.
UCCCCUCCUAUCAGGCACACCUGAUUGUAGUCAUCAGCUUAUUAAUAGAGACUGCAAGACCUAAAUUGGUUGUCUGAUGAAUGAACAGGUUUGAGAAGCAAUAAUCUAUUCAACAAAAAAAAAAAAAGCAAACUGUUUACCUUAACGGAUACCCAUGCAUCUCCACUGACUGAUGGAAAAAACCAAGGGCAGUCGAUGCUUUGUUAUCUGUUGCAGCUCCAAGGUACAUGAUCUGAGAUGCAGUGGGCCCUGAACGGAAUAAGUCCUUCGGACAACACAUCUCAGCUGUGUCAUUCUUGCAAGUAUUCCAGCAGAGUCCACUCGAUGCAUGGAAUCCCACACCCUUGUCCAUGGCACACGGUGACCCAGUGCUUGCAACCGUCCUUUCAUCAUCCGGUGGCCUAGAAAUACCAAACUCAUUAAGACGCCGAUCAAUAGUCCUUGUUGACACACCGAGAAGCUGAGCAAUACAGGGGACAGACAGAUGCAUACUCACAAGAUUUACAAGAUGCUCUCUGGAUAUAAGAAACUUUGGACGUCCCCUCUCUCCAAAUUGCACUUCCAGUGCAGCUAUGGGUACACUGUUGUU